This 560-nucleotide ribosomal RNA is filed under the name uncultured bacterium. Its description in RNAcentral is "bacterial SSU rRNA". It matches the Rfam family "Bacterial small subunit ribosomal RNA", at positions 338 to 916 of the family's 1533-position model. The record is from RNAcentral.
CCUACGGGAGGCAGCAGUGGGGAAUCUUGCGCAAUGGGCGAAAGCCUGACGCAGCCAUGCCGCGUGAAUGAUGAAGGUCUUAGGAUUGUAAAAUUCUUUCACCGGGGACGAUAAUGACGGUACCCGGAGAAGAAGCCCCGGCUAACUUCGUGCCAGCAGCCGCGGUAAUACGAAGGGGGCUAGCGUUGCUCGGAAUUACUGGGCGUAAAGGGAGCGUAGGCGGAUAGUUUAGUCAGAGGUGAAAGCCCAGGGCUCAACCUUGGAAUUGCCUUUGAUACUGGCUAUCUUGAGUGUGGGAGAGGUAUGUGGAACUCCGAGUGUAGAGGUGAAAUUCGUAGAUAUUCGGAAGAACACCAGUGGCGAAGGCGACAUACUGGCCCAUUACUGACGCUGAGGCUCGAAAGCGUGGGGAGCAAACAGGAUUAGAUACCCUGGUAGUCCACGCUGUAAACGAUGAGUGCUAGUUGUCGGCAGGCAUGCCUGUCGGUGACGCAGCUAACGCAUUAAGCACUCCGCCUGGGGAGUACGGCCGCAAGAUUAAAACUUAAAGGAAUUGACGG